This 507-nucleotide ribosomal RNA is filed under the name uncultured Glomeraceae. Its description in RNAcentral is "SSU rRNA". It matches the Rfam family "Eukaryotic small subunit ribosomal RNA", at positions 569 to 1082 of the family's 1831-position model. Lineage: Eukaryota; Fungi; Glomeromycota; Glomeromycetes; Glomerales; Glomeraceae. The record is from RNAcentral.
AGCAGCCGCGGUAAUUCCAGCUCCAAUAGCGUAUAUUAAAGUUGUUGCAGUUAAAAAGCUCGUAGUCGAAUUUCGGGAUCAAGGAAUCGGUCAUGCCUCGGUAUGUACUGGUUUUAUUGGUUCUCACCUUCUAAAGAACCAUAAUGUCAUUCAUUUGAUGUUAUGGGGAAUUAGGACUGUUACCUUGAAAAAUUAGAGUGUUUAAAGCAGGCUCGCGCUUGAAUACAUUAGCAUGGAAUAAUGAAAUAGGACGUUUGACCCUAUUUUGUUGGUUUCUAGGAUCGACGUAAUGAUUAAUAGGGAUAGUUGGGGGCAUUAGUAUUCAAUUGUCAGAGGUGAAAUUCUUGGAUUUAUUGAAGACUAACUACUGCGAAAGCAUUUGCCAAGGAUGUUUUCAUUAAUCAAGAACGAAAGUUAGGGGAUCGAAGACGAUCAGAUACCGUCGUAGUCUUAACCAUAAACUAUGCCGACUAGGGAUCGGAUGAUGUUAAUUUUUUAAUGUACUCA